RNAcentral lists this ribosomal RNA (492 nucleotides) under uncultured bacterium. RNAcentral's name for it is "partial 16S ribosomal RNA". It matches the Rfam family "Bacterial small subunit ribosomal RNA", at positions 29 to 507 of the family's 1533-position model. The record is from RNAcentral.
AGUGAACGCUGGCGGUAGGCCUAACACAUGCAAGUCGAACGGCAGCACAGUAAGAGCUUGCUCUUACGGGUGGCGAGUGGCGGACGGGUGAGGAAUACAUCGGAAUCUACUUUUUCGUGGGGGAUAACGUAGGGAAACUUACGCUAAUACCGCAUACGACCUACGGGUGAAAGCAGGGGAUCUUCGGACCUUGCGCGAUUGAAUGAGCCGAUGUCGGAUUAGCUAGUUGGCGGGGUAAAGGCCCACCAAGGCGACGAUCCGUAGCUGGUCUGAGAGGAUGAUCGGCGACACUGGAACUGAGACGCGGUCCAGACUCCUACGGGAGGCAGCAGUGGGGAAUAUUGGACAAUGGGCGCAAGCCUGAUCCAGCCAUACCGCGUGGGUGAAGAAGGCCUUCGGGUUGUAAAGCCCUUUUGUUGGGAAAGAAAAGCAGCAGGUUAAUACCCCGCUGUUCUGACGGUACCCAAAGAAUAAGCACCGGCUAACUUCGUG